This 254-nucleotide ribosomal RNA is filed under the name uncultured bacterium. Its description in RNAcentral is "partial 16S ribosomal RNA". It matches the Rfam family "Bacterial small subunit ribosomal RNA", at positions 524 to 776 of the family's 1533-position model. The record is from RNAcentral.
UACGUAGGGUCCAAGCGUUAUCCGGAAUUACUGGGCGUAAAGAGUUGCGUAGGUGGCAGAGUAAGUAGACAGUAAAAGCGUGCGGCUCAACCGCAUAUAUAUUGUCUAAACUGCUCAGCUAGAGGACGAGAGAGGUAACUGGAAUUCCCUGUGUAGGAGUGAAAUCCGUAGAUAUAGGGAGGAACACCGAUGGCGUAGGCAGGUUACUGGCUCGUUCCUGACACUAAGGCACGAAAGCGUGGGGAGCAAACGGG